GUGCUCACUUCAGUAGCACAUAUACUAAAAUUCAAACAAUACAGAGAAGAUUAGCAUGGCCCCUGUAUAAGAAUGACAUGCAAAUUCAUGAAGUAUUACAUUUUUUA
Molecule: small nuclear RNA, 107 nt
Organism: Manis pentadactyla (Chinese pangolin)
Lineage: Eukaryota; Metazoa; Chordata; Mammalia; Pholidota; Manidae
Source: RefSeq, a predicted model, not a curated record